AGUCGCGAGUGGCAGACGCCAUUAACCGCCCCUUGGCGGGCAGCACCUCUCGCAGCGCCGGGCACCCGCGGUUUUGAAGCUUAAAAAGGUGGGACACUGAAACCAGCCACAACAUCACCACCAAAACCAGAUGCUGGCCUGUCUGCUCAUCCAAGUCUGCUGUCCACGCUCUGGGCCUUGUGAAUUACCACAGGUUUUUCCCUACCACAUUGCAAACUACUCAGCCCACAGUGAGAAAGCUGGACCAGGCAAGCUGAAGAGGCUGCUGAUGAAAACAUGGAGAGACUCCUGCAGAACUCUUGGCAAUGCAUCCUUUUCUGACAACAAGCCUUUAAUACCUAGUCCGAGUUCAAGUGGGCACAACAGAUUCAGAUAAGCAGGGAUUAGCACAAUUUAGGCAAGAAAAUCCUUGUUCCAGUUUUGCAGGCUGCAUGUCAAGGCAGGCAGAUACCUAAAUGUGUAAAUACAUGCUAAAGUAGGCAAACAUACAAAAUUCUGUUCUGCAGGGCUACAUUGUUAUGGAUUCCUGAGGCUGGUAGUUUGAAAGUGAUUUCAGGGACACUUAUACUAGCUGCAGUCACACUGCAUUAUGUGUAAACAUACUCUUAGAGCAAGUCACUUAGCAAUCUGGCAGCUAAAUGUAAAACCGCACGGGAAGAAAUCAGUCUGCUUUUGCAAAUGUUAGCUAUUGGCAGGCUUAGUACAAAACUAAAUAAUUGUUAGCAAAACAAUGCUCCGAUACAGAAAGUGCAAAAAAGCCCCAAAGUGUGCCCUAAGUAGCUGAAGCAAUAAAGCCUCAUUUCCUUUAUCA
This 811-nucleotide long non-coding RNA is filed under the name Dromaius novaehollandiae (emu). RNAcentral's name for it is "lncRNA (ENSDNVG00000014588.1)". The record is from RNAcentral. Lineage: Eukaryota; Metazoa; Chordata; Aves; Casuariiformes; Dromaiidae.